RNAcentral lists this small nuclear RNA (191 nucleotides) under Mus spicilegus (steppe mouse). RNAcentral describes it as "U2 spliceosomal RNA (ENSMSIG00000027646.1)". It matches the Rfam family "U2 spliceosomal RNA". From Rfam's summary of the family: U2 is a small nuclear RNA (snRNA) component of the spliceosome (involved in pre-mRNA splicing). Complementary binding between U2 snRNA (in an area lying towards the 5' end but 3' to hairpin I) and the branchpoint sequence (BPS) of the intron results the bulging out of an unpaired adenosine, on the BPS, which initiates a nucleophilic attack at the intronic 5' splice site, thus starting the first of two transesterification reactions that mediate splicing. The record is from Rfam by way of RNAcentral. Lineage: Eukaryota; Metazoa; Chordata; Mammalia; Rodentia; Muridae.
AUUGCUUGUCGGCCUUUUGGCUAAGAUCAAGUGUAGUAUCUGUUCUUAUCAAUUUAAUAUCUGAUACUUCCUCCAUCUGAGGACAAUGUAUUAAAUGGAUUUUUGGAAGUAGGAGUUGGAAUAGGAGCUUGCUCCGUCCACUCCACGCAUCGACCUGGUAUUGCAGUACCUCCAGGAACGGUGCACCCCCU